CCUACGGGUGGCAGCAGUGGGGAAUAUUGCACAAUGGGGGAAACCCUGAUGCAGCGACGCCGCGUGUGUGAAGAAGUAUUUCGGUAUGUAAAGCUCUGUCAGCAGGGAAGAAAAUGACGGUACCUGACCAAGAAGCCCCGGCUAACUACGUGCCAGCAGCCGCGGUAAUACGUAGGGGGCAAGCGUUAUCCGGAUUUACGGGGUGGAAAGUGAGCGUAGACGGCAGGGCAAGUAUGGAGUGAAAGGCGGGGGCUCAACCCCCGGACUGCUCUGGAGACUGCCAGGCUGGAGUGCCGGAGAGGUAAGGGGAAUUCCGAGUGUAGCGGUGAAAUGCGUAGAUAUUAGGAGGAACACCAGUGGCGAAGGCAGCUUACUGGACUGUAACUGACGUUGAGGCUCGAAAGCGUGGGGAGCAAACAGGAUUAGAUACCCGGGUAGUC
Molecule: ribosomal RNA, 440 nt
Filed under: uncultured bacterium
Lineage: Bacteria
Description: partial 16S ribosomal RNA
Rfam family: Bacterial small subunit ribosomal RNA
Source: RNAcentral